UGGGGAAUAUUGGACAAUGGGCGAAAGCCUGAUCCAGCCAUGCCGCGUGAGUGACGAAGGCCUUAGGGUUGUAAAACUCUUUCGUCGGGGACGAUAAUGACGGUACCCGAAGAAGAAGCUCCGGCUAACUUCGUGCCAGCAGCCGCGGUAAUACGAAGGGAGCUAGCGUUGUUCGGAAUCACUGGGCGUAAAGCGCACGUAGGCGGAUAGUUAAGUCAGGGGUGAAAUCCUGGGGCUCAACCCCAGAACUGCCCUUUGAUACUGGCUGUCUCGAGGUCGAGAGAGGUUGGUGGAAUUCCUAGUGUAGAGGUGAAAUUCGUAGAUAUUAGGAAGAACACCAGUGGCGAAGGCGGCCAACUGGCUCGAUACUGACGCUGAGGUGCGAAAGCGUGGGGAGCAAACAGGAUU
This 408-nucleotide ribosomal RNA is filed under the name uncultured bacterium. RNAcentral's name for it is "bacterial SSU rRNA". It matches the Rfam family "Bacterial small subunit ribosomal RNA", at positions 355 to 779 of the family's 1533-position model. The record is from RNAcentral.